RNAcentral lists this long non-coding RNA (209 nucleotides) under Elaeis guineensis (African oil palm). Its description in RNAcentral is "long non-coding RNA (EGUI_LNC001131)". Lineage: Eukaryota; Viridiplantae; Streptophyta; Magnoliopsida; Arecales; Arecaceae. The record is from RNAcentral.
GUGCCUUCUCUUGGGUGAAUGUUGAAAGAGCACCAGUGAAACUCCAAAUCUGUAUGACCCUCAAACAUUAAAACAGCACAUGCACGAUCAUCUUAGUGUCGCCUUCACAACUCGAGCAAGUCGAUGGGAUAUCCAUCCCCCACUCCCUCAACACCCCUCUGGUUAGCAAAUGGCCCCAUGCCAGCUUUCGAAGAAAAGGAUAACACUCG